Molecule: ribosomal RNA, 533 nt
Filed under: Limosilactobacillus reuteri
Lineage: Bacteria; Bacillati; Bacillota; Bacilli; Lactobacillales; Lactobacillaceae
Description: bacterial SSU rRNA
Rfam family: Bacterial small subunit ribosomal RNA
Source: RNAcentral
AGCCUGAUGGAGCACACCGCGUGAGUGAAGAAGGGUUUCGGCUCGUAAAGCUCUGUUGUUGGAGAAGAACGUGCGUGAGAGUAACUGUUCACGCAGUGACGGUAUCCAACCAGAAAGUCACGGCUAACUACGUGCCAGCAGCCGCGGUAAUACGUAGGUGGCAAGCGUUAUCCGGAUUUAUUGGGCGUAAAGCGAGCGCAGGCGGUUGCUUAGGUCUGAUGUGAAAGCCUUCGGCUUAACCGAAGAAGGGCAUCGGAAACCGGGCGACUUGAGUGCAGAAGAGGACAGUGGAACUCCAUGUGUAGCGGUGGAAUGCGUAGAUAUAUGGAAGAACACCAGUGGCGAAGGCGGCUGUCUGGUCUGCAACUGACGCUGAGGCUCGAAAGCAUGGGUAGCGAACAGGAUUAGAUACCCUGGUAGUCCAUGCCGUAAACGAUGAGUGCUAGGUGUUGGAGGGUUUCCGCCCUUCAGUGCCGGAGCUAACGCAUUAAGCACUCCGCCUGGGGAGUACGACCGCAAGGUUGAAACUCAAA